GACGAACGCUGGCGGCGUGCUUAACACAUGCAAGUCGAACGGAAAGGCCCUGCUUUUGUGGGGUGCUCGAGUGGCGAACGGGUGAGUAACACGUGAGUAACCUGCCCUUGACUUUGGGAUAACUUCAGGAAACUGGGGCUAAUACCGGAUAGGAGCUCCUGCUGCAUGGUGGGGGUUGGAAAGUUUCGGCGGUUGGGGAUGGACUCGCGGCUUAUCAGCUUGUUGGUGGGGUAGUGGCUUACCAAGGCUUUGACGGGUAGCCGGCCUGAGAGGGUGACCGGCCACAUUGGGACUGAGAUACGGCCCAGACUCCUACGGGAGGCAGCAGUGGGGAAUAUUGCACAACGGGCGGAAGCCUGAUGCAGCAACGCCGCGUGCGGGAUGACGGCCUUCGGGUUGUAAACCGCUUUCGCCUGUGACGAAGCGUGAGUGACGGUAAUAGGUAAAGAAGCACCGGCUAACUACAUG
RNAcentral lists this ribosomal RNA (468 nucleotides) under uncultured bacterium. RNAcentral's name for it is "partial 16S ribosomal RNA". It matches the Rfam family "Bacterial small subunit ribosomal RNA", at positions 28 to 507 of the family's 1533-position model. The record is from RNAcentral.